RNAcentral lists this ribosomal RNA (185 nucleotides) under uncultured bacterium. RNAcentral describes it as "partial 16S ribosomal RNA". It matches the Rfam family "Bacterial small subunit ribosomal RNA", at positions 1316 to 1500 of the family's 1533-position model. The record is from RNAcentral.
CUACAUGAAGCUGGAAUCGCUAGUAAUCGCGGAUCAGAAUGCCGCGGUGAAUACGUUCCCGGGUCUUGUACACACCGCCCGUCACACCAUGGGAGUCGGAAAUGCCCGAAGUCUGUGACCCAACCUACGGGAGGGAGCAGCCGAAGGCAGGUCGGAUGACUGGGGUGAAGUCGUAACAAGGUACC